GAGGACUGCCCCGCCCCUUUCUCAGAAGGGGCAUCAUAGGAAGCAGAACUGGCUAGAGCAUCUCCACCAUCUUCCUUCAAGCACGUGGACCGACACCCAGGCCUCCUGGUGUCCUGACACUGCAGACUCCUGGAAUAUACCUCCACCAGCAGGCAGGAAUCUGUCCUAUUCCCAGCAACCACUAGAGGCACUGCCUGACCCUACUGCGGCCACAAGCAGAGGGACCCCAGGAUUCUCAAAUCUGUUACCUUGUCUCACCUCCCCUAGGAAGCAGAAGAGUGCUAUGUGUUGUCGUCCUUCCCUCGGCAGCAGCAGCAGUAGAUGAUGAUGCCAAUGAUAAUGAG
Molecule: long non-coding RNA, 344 nt
Filed under: Homo sapiens (human)
Lineage: Eukaryota; Metazoa; Chordata; Mammalia; Primates; Hominidae
Description: HSALNT0296348
Source: RNAcentral